Molecule: ribosomal RNA, 497 nt
Filed under: uncultured bacterium
Lineage: Bacteria
Description: partial 16S ribosomal RNA
Rfam family: Bacterial small subunit ribosomal RNA
Source: RNAcentral
GACGAACGCUGGCGGCGUGCCUAAUACAUGCAAGUUGAGCGCUGAAGGUUGGUACUUGUACCAACUGGAUGAGCAGCGAACGGGUGAGUAACGCGUGGGGAAUCUGCCUUUGAGCGGGGGACAACAUUUGGAAACGAAUGCUAAUACCGCAUAAAAACUUUAAACACAAGUUUUAAGUUUGAAAGAUGCAAUUGCAUCACUCAAAGAUGAUCCCGCGUUGUAUUAGCUAGUUGGUGAGGUAAAGGCUCACCAAGGCGAUGAUUCAUAGCCGACCUGAGAGGGUGAUCUGCCACAUUGGGACUGAGACACGGCCCAAACUCCUACGGGAGGCAGCAGUAGGGAAUCUUCGGCAAUGGACGAAAGUCUGACCGAGCAACGCCGCGUGAGUGAAGAAGGGUUUCGGAUCGUAAAACUCUGUUGGUAGAGAAGAACGUUGGUGAGAGUGGAAAGCUCAUCAAGUGACGGUAACUACCCAGAAAGGGACGGCUAACUACGUG